CUUAUAGUUUUUUCCCAUCCUAUGACAUUAUUUUCAAUACUUUUAACAACUUUCCUAAACUCUUAACACAGUUAGCACAACAUCCAUCUGUGUAGGCUAUACAAUUAACACAUUUCUUGUUGCUUUGACACAAAACUCAUUCAGUUAACACAGAUUUAAAAUGCUUGAACUUCUUUUACACACAAGCUCAAC
Molecule: long non-coding RNA, 192 nt
Organism: Etheostoma spectabile (orangethroat darter)
Lineage: Eukaryota; Metazoa; Chordata; Actinopteri; Perciformes; Percidae
Exons: 4
Source: RefSeq, a predicted model, not a curated record